This 69-nucleotide antisense RNA is filed under the name Amycolatopsis australiensis. RNAcentral's name for it is "ASpks TB sRNA". It matches the Rfam family "ASpks TB sRNA". The record is from RNAcentral. Lineage: Bacteria; Bacillati; Actinomycetota; Actinomycetes; Pseudonocardiales; Pseudonocardiaceae.
CUUCACCGACCCCAGCCACAGCGGCCGAUCCCGGUUCUGCCCGUAGGUGGCCAGCAACGCCUGCGCCUC